RNAcentral lists this ribosomal RNA (2903 nucleotides) under Escherichia coli. RNAcentral's name for it is "23S ribosomal RNA". It matches the Rfam family "Bacterial large subunit ribosomal RNA". Lineage: Bacteria; Pseudomonadati; Pseudomonadota; Gammaproteobacteria; Enterobacterales; Enterobacteriaceae. The record is from RNAcentral.
GGUUAAGCGACUAAGCGUACACGGUGGAUGCCCUGGCAGUCAGAGGCGAUGAAGGACGUGCUAAUCUGCGAUAAGCGUCGGUAAGGUGAUAUGAACCGUUAUAACCGGCGAUUUCCGAAUGGGGAAACCCAGUGUGAUUCGUCACACUAUCAUUAACUGAAUCCAUAGGUUAAUGAGGCGAACCGGGGGAACUGAAACAUCUAAGUACCCCGAGGAAAAGAAAUCAACCGAGAUUCCCCCAGUAGCGGCGAGCGAACGGGGAGCAGCCCAGAGCCUGAAUCAGUGUGUGUGUUAGUGGAAGCGUCUGGAAAGGCGUGCGAUACAGGGUGACAGCCCCGUACACAAAAAUGCACAUACUGUGAGCUCGAUGAGUAGGGCGGGACACGUGGUAUCCUGUCUGAAUAUGGGGGGACCAUCCUCCAAGGCUAAAUACUCCUGACUGACCGAUAGUGAACCAGUACCGUGAGGGAAAGGCGAAAAGAACCCCGGCGAGGGGAGUGAAAAAGAACCUGAAACCGUGUACGUACAAGCAGUGGGAGCACGCUUAGGCGUGUGACUGCGUACCUUUUGUAUAAUGGGUCAGCGACUUAUAUUCUGUAGCAAGGUUAACCGAAUAGGGGAGCCGAAGGGAAACCGAGUCUUAACUGGGCGUUAAGUUGCAGGGUAUAGACCCGAAACCCGGUGAUCUAGCCAUGGGCAGGUUGAAGGUUGGGUAACACUAACUGGAGGACCGAACCGACUAAUGUUGAAAAAUUAGCGGAUGACUUGUGGCUGGGGGUGAAAGGCCAAUCAAACCGGGAGAUAGCUGGUUCUCCCCGAAAGCUAUUUAGGUAGCGCCUCGUGAAUUCAUCUCCGGGGGUAGAGCACUGUUUCGGCAAGGGGGUCAUCCCGACUUACCAACCCGAUGCAAACUGCGAAUACCGGAGAAUGUUAUCACGGGAGACACACGGCGGGUGCUAACGUCCGUCGUGAAGAGGGAAACAACCCAGACCGCCAGCUAAGGUCCCAAAGUCAUGGUUAAGUGGGAAACGAUGUGGGAAGGCCCAGACAGCCAGGAUGUUGGCUUAGAAGCAGCCAUCAUUUAAAGAAAGCGUAAUAGCUCACUGGUCGAGUCGGCCUGCGCGGAAGAUGUAACGGGGCUAAACCAUGCACCGAAGCUGCGGCAGCGACACUAUGUGUUGUUGGGUAGGGGAGCGUUCUGUAAGCCUGCGAAGGUGUGCUGUGAGGCAUGCUGGAGGUAUCAGAAGUGCGAAUGCUGACAUAAGUAACGAUAAAGCGGGUGAAAAGCCCGCUCGCCGGAAGACCAAGGGUUCCUGUCCAACGUUAAUCGGGGCAGGGUGAGUCGACCCCUAAGGCGAGGCCGAAAGGCGUAGUCGAUGGGAAACAGGUUAAUAUUCCUGUACUUGGUGUUACUGCGAAGGGGGGACGGAGAAGGCUAUGUUGGCCGGGCGACGGUUGUCCCGGUUUAAGCGUGUAGGCUGGUUUUCCAGGCAAAUCCGGAAAAUCAAGGCUGAGGCGUGAUGACGAGGCACUACGGUGCUGAAGCAACAAAUGCCCUGCUUCCAGGAAAAGCCUCUAAGCAUCAGGUAACAUCAAAUCGUACCCCAAACCGACACAGGUGGUCAGGUAGAGAAUACCAAGGCGCUUGAGAGAACUCGGGUGAAGGAACUAGGCAAAAUGGUGCCGUAACUUCGGGAGAAGGCACGCUGAUAUGUAGGUGAAGUCCCUCGCGGAUGGAGCUGAAAUCAGUCGAAGAUACCAGCUGGCUGCAACUGUUUAUUAAAAACACAGCACUGUGCAAACACGAAAGUGGACGUAUACGGUGUGACGCCUGCCCGGUGCCGGAAGGUUAAUUGAUGGGGUCAGCGCAAGCGAAGCUCUUGAUCGAAGCCCCGGUAAACGGCGGCCGUAACUAUAACGGUCCUAAGGUAGCGAAAUUCCUUGUCGGGUAAGUUCCGACCUGCACGAAUGGCGUAAUGAUGGCCAGGCUGUCUCCACCCGAGACUCAGUGAAAUUGAACUCGCUGUGAAGAUGCAGUGUACCCGCGGCAAGACGGAAAGACCCCGUGAACCUUUACUAUAGCUUGACACUGAACAUUGAGCCUUGAUGUGUAGGAUAGGUGGGAGGCUUUGAAGUGUGGACGCCAGUCUGCAUGGAGCCGACCUUGAAAUACCACCCUUUAAUGUUUGAUGUUCUAACGUUGACCCGUAAUCCGGGUUGCGGACAGUGUCUGGUGGGUAGUUUGACUGGGGCGGUCUCCUCCUAAAGAGUAACGGAGGAGCACGAAGGUUGGCUAAUCCUGGUCGGACAUCAGGAGGUUAGUGCAAUGGCAUAAGCCAGCUUGACUGCGAGCGUGACGGCGCGAGCAGGUGCGAAAGCAGGUCAUAGUGAUCCGGUGGUUCUGAAUGGAAGGGCCAUCGCUCAACGGAUAAAAGGUACUCCGGGGAUAACAGGCUGAUACCGCCCAAGAGUUCAUAUCGACGGCGGUGUUUGGCACCUCGAUGUCGGCUCAUCACAUCCUGGGGCUGAAGUAGGUCCCAAGGGUAUGGCUGUUCGCCAUUUAAAGUGGUACGCGAGCUGGGUUUAGAACGUCGUGAGACAGUUCGGUCCCUAUCUGCCGUGGGCGCUGGAGAACUGAGGGGGGCUGCUCCUAGUACGAGAGGACCGGAGUGGACGCAUCACUGGUGUUCGGGUUGUCAUGCCAAUGGCACUGCCCGGUAGCUAAAUGCGGAAGAGAUAAGUGCUGAAAGCAUCUAAGCACGAAACUUGCCCCGAGAUGAGUUCUCCCUGACUCCUUGAGAGUCCUGAAGGAACGUUGAAGACGACGACGUUGAUAGGCCGGGUGUGUAAGCGCAGCGAUGCGUUGAGCUAACCGGUACUAAUGAACCGUGAGGCUUAACCUU